UACGAAGGGUGCAAGCGUUAAUCGGAAUUAUUGGGCGUAAAGGGUGCGUAGGCGGUUGUUUAAGUCUGUCGUGAAAUCCCCGGGCUCAACCUGGGAAUGGCAUUCGGGACUGCAAGGCUGGAGUGCGGCAGAGGAGACUGGAAUUCCUGGUGUAGCAGUGAAAUGCGUAGAUAUCAGGAGGAAUACCGAUGGCGAAGGCAGGUCUCUGGGCUGACACUGACGCUCAUGCACGAAAGCGUGGGGAGCAAACAGG
RNAcentral lists this ribosomal RNA (253 nucleotides) under uncultured bacterium. Its description in RNAcentral is "partial 16S ribosomal RNA". It matches the Rfam family "Bacterial small subunit ribosomal RNA", at positions 524 to 776 of the family's 1533-position model. The record is from RNAcentral.